ACGUAAUAGAUACCCUGGUAGUCCACGCCCUAAACGAUGUCUACUAGUUGUCGGGUCUUAAUUGACUUGGUAAACGCAGCUAAACGCGUGAAGUAAGACCGCCUGGGGAGUACGGUCGCAAGAUUAAAACUCAAAGGAAUUGACGGGGACCCGGCACAAGCGGUGGAUGAUGUGGAUUAAAUUCGAUGCAACGCGAAAAACCUUAACCUACCCUUGACAUGGAUGGAAUCCUUGAGAGAUUGAGGAGUGCCCGAAACGGGAAACCGAUUACACAGGUGCUGCAUGGCUGUCGUCAGCUCGUGUCGUGAGAUGUUGGGUUUAAGUCCCGCAACGAGCGCAACCCUUGUCAUUAGUUGCUACGAAACGGGCACUCUAAUGAGACUGCCGGUGACAAACC
RNAcentral lists this ribosomal RNA (397 nucleotides) under uncultured bacterium. RNAcentral's name for it is "bacterial SSU rRNA". It matches the Rfam family "Bacterial small subunit ribosomal RNA", at positions 774 to 1164 of the family's 1533-position model. The record is from RNAcentral.